GUUACAGCAGACCUGCUCAACUUCAGCAGCUAGAAGGAGGAUUGUCUUUCACCAGCUGCAGGAGCCUGUUCCCACUACAAGCCUGGUGGAGUCUUCGGAGCAGAUGUGACUGUCCUACUUGUAUAGAGAAGAGAAACUGAGGCUCAGAAGAGAUGCCUGGCUGAGUUUAAUAGGACUGCAACAACAAUUUUGCCUUUCUACUUUCUGGUACAGUGGUCUUUCCUUUGCCAUCAUGCCUCAGCAUAUCCAUCUCACCGAAGAAGACAGGAAAACUUGUCAGAUGGGGAAGGAUGUGUCAAGAGCAUGCACACAGAUUUACUCUUCAGCUAGAAGCUCCAAUUCCUAGAUGAUCUGAAUCCAACUCAGAGUGCUUGCACCUGUUUCCUGCCACACAGCUAGAGCUGUGUCCCUCUAGGUUCUCUGAUUGGCUGAAGCUACUCUAAGCCAAGAGAUCAAAGAAGCUGAUAAUGUAGAAUGUAAGUUUGUCUCCUGGGCCACAAUGGAAAGCAGAGACUGUAGCUGGAGGAGUGAAUAGAGGAUAUGCAGCUCUGGUAAUUCUCAGUACAAUUCCCAGUGGUCCACUCUGCAGAAUGAACCAAGUUCCAUUUUGCCCAACUUCUGGCAGUCCACAUUUGGACUGUGAGCUCACCUACAGAUAAAUCGUACGUGGAUUGAUGCAGUAACUGGAUUUGUAGCUGCUAAAUCUUAUUUAAGUGAGGACCUGUCCAGUACAUGUGAAGACCACCCAUCCACUGAAAGUGAUAAGUGAAGCUGAAUCAAUACUAGACUGAAUCAAUACUGAGCUGAAUCAAUACUUUCCCAAUUUUGAGGAAAUCUUGGAAAAUCUCUGAGAAAUGUGGUAGUAAUUAUUUUGAAGAAUUGGAAAACUUUAUAGCUGAUUAUGCUAUGUGUGGAAGAUACAACAGGAUUAUAAGAGAGAGAAGACAAUAUCCUUGCUGUGUCCAGAAGGCUUUAGCCGGGGUGUCCUACUGAGAGAUGACAAACUUAAGGUUUUUCUCUUCCCAGACAUUACUGGACAACUAGCUAUGUAAUUAGGUCUUAUGCCGAAAAGACUGAAAGGAAAACAUCUCAGAUCUAGGAAUGUGAUCAAGAAAGAAGGCUGGUUAAAGAAUAACAUGGGGAAAAUGAAUGCAGUGAAAUGGUUCACGCACAAGUUCUAGGAAUUCAGAGUGCAACAGCAGAAAUGCGAUUUUUGUUAGAUAUUUCAGAAAGUGAUGUGAGUCCCUGAGGUCAUACUGCAGCGUUCAGGUUCUGUUUGGCCUCCUGCACGAAGCUUUCCUUGAUUGGAAAAGCUGCAUACUCUGAAGCACAUCGCAUGUGUCCUGUCUGUAGUUCAUUUCAUUUCCCCAGAUUUGUUAUCAUCCACCAUCACUCAUACAAGCCUACCUUCUUCAUGCCAACCUUUGUAAUCUUUCUACCUUGCUAACCUGGUCAUGUCAAGGACCAGCUAAUAAAUAGCAAAGUUGUACCUUGAGCCAAGGUAUCUUGACUCUUAGUCCA
This 1521-nucleotide long non-coding RNA is filed under the name Homo sapiens (human). RNAcentral's name for it is "novel transcript". The record is from RNAcentral. Lineage: Eukaryota; Metazoa; Chordata; Mammalia; Primates; Hominidae.